GUCAUCACUCUAGAGAAUUCUUUAUAACACAACAAUGACACCCAUCCUCAUAGCCUUCUGGACUUUUGCCUUCUGCUUUAGAGAGUCCUAUGGACAGGUCACUGUGACUCAGACUCCUGCAGUGAAAGCUGUUCAACAGGGAGGAUCAGUCACUCUGAACUGUAAAACCAGCAGUGAUGUGUAUGAUGCAGGGACAUCUAAUUCUAAUUAUCCUCGAUUAGCCUGGUACCAACAGAAACCUGGAGCAGCUCCUAAACUCCUGAUCUAUAAUGCCAAAACACUUCAGUCUGGGACUCCAUCCAGAUUCAGUGGCAGUGGAACUCACAGUGACUUCACUCUGACCAUCAGUAAUGUCCAGACUGAGGAUGCAGGAGUUUACUACUGUCAGAGUUACCAUAGUGGCCCAGUGUGGACUUUUGGUGGAGGCACUAGACUCGAGAUUGGAGGUGACACCCGUCCCAAACUCACAGUCCUGCCCCCCCUGCACACCAGCGGGACUUCAGCCACGGUGAUGUGCCUGGCUAACGGAGGCUUCCCGUCCGACUGGGCGCUUGAGCUGGAAGGUGUGAGGGGAGCAGCAGGAGCAGGGGACACCAGUGUCUUUGGCCCACAGAAGGACGGCCUGUACAGCUGGAGCAGCACCUGA
This is a non-coding RNA of Alosa alosa (allis shad), 646 nucleotides long. The record is from the annotation of a RefSeq genome assembly. NCBI's taxonomy places the organism in Eukaryota, Metazoa, Chordata, Actinopteri, Clupeiformes, Clupeidae.